CCCCUCUCAGGGUCGCAGCUGGGGAGUUUCCAGUACUCUACCAGUCCAAGCUAUGGGAGGGAGAGUCAAGCAGAGGCAUAUCCAUUCCAUUCCUAGCUUGGGCAGUGGCUAGCAAGUGGAAGGCAAUCUGCUAUGAGU
Molecule: small nucleolar RNA, 138 nt
Filed under: Ornithorhynchus anatinus (platypus)
Lineage: Eukaryota; Metazoa; Chordata; Mammalia; Monotremata; Ornithorhynchidae
Source: RNAcentral